This 1042-nucleotide long non-coding RNA is filed under the name Olea europaea subsp. europaea. Lineage: Eukaryota; Viridiplantae; Streptophyta; Magnoliopsida; Lamiales; Oleaceae. The record is from RNAcentral.
GCCAAACUUCAUUUAAAAAAAAUAAUAAAGGAAGAAGAACUUUAUCAGGUCGUAAUAUACAAACAGAAAAAUAUGAAUUUACCAUGUCAUCUACACUUUAUCAAAUGCUUGAAUUAACUUUCGAAACAAUUUAAAUCUAUUUCUAGCACUACUCUAGAUCACCAUGACCAUGACCUCCUUUGGUUGAUGUGGAUCUGGUUGCUUUGAAUCUCACAAGUGAAACAAACGGAAUGACAAAAAGGAUCCAUAUAACCGAUCCAAACAAUCGGGAAUAAUACUUAACUUCCUUGUUGUAUGCUAAACAAUGUUCUACAUACCCUUGUUCAACGAAAUCCUAAUAACUCUAUAAAUUUACUCGACAAAACAGAAGAAAGAAAAUCAAGAAAUGGAAAUUCUUAGAAGAAUUAAAACAAGGGGUUAAUAACCAAGAAAGAACUAGCUAAUCAAGGUUUACUUCCUGCAAAAUUUGAAGAACCAGAAUCAAAUUUAUUCCCUAUUUUUUCUUUCUUUUUCAAGAAAGGCCACUGCUUAUUCUGUGUAGGAUUUGAAGAACUUGGUGGGCGUUUCCUUAGGCCAUUCAUUUCCACUGCUUUUACAGGCUCUUUCAUUGCUCCACUCUUUACUCCAUUUACACAAAGUGAAGUAACAGAAGAACUUAACAAUUUUCUUGACAAACUUUUAGCUUCGUCACCGGGAUCAUUGAGGCCCCAAGAAGACGUAACAUGAAAAUGCAGAAAAAGAAACCCUAAAAGAAGAACUAGCGUUCUGUGACUGUUUUUCAUACUGAUUAAGAAAGAAAAUGAAAUGGAGAUGGAGAUGCAAAGUGGAGGUCUUGAAGAAGCUUAUAUGAGGACUGAUAAAAGGUUAGGCAUGCUGCUUGUCGGCUGUACCUCGUGCUUCAGACUGACAAAACAUGUGUUUCGUAUAUAUAUAUUGUAUAGGAACCCUGAAAAAGGCAAAUAUGCAGGCCAAGAUUGAUUCAACAGCGUCAAACUUGGGUCUGAAUCUGCAGGUAGAAAAUUUUGUGCUAGUCUAAUUUGAG